GGGCCCAUGGUAUAGCGGUAACACAUCUCCAUGGCAUGGAGAAGUCCGGGGUUCAAUUCCCCGUGGGUCCA
Molecule: transfer RNA, 71 nt
Filed under: Candidatus Colwelliibacteriota bacterium
Lineage: Bacteria; Candidatus Colwelliibacteriota
Description: tRNA-Ala
Rfam family: tRNA
About the family: Transfer RNA (tRNA) molecules are approximately 80 nucleotides in length.
Source: RNAcentral